This 200-nucleotide ribosomal RNA is filed under the name uncultured bacterium. Its description in RNAcentral is "partial 16S ribosomal RNA". It matches the Rfam family "Bacterial small subunit ribosomal RNA", at positions 29 to 222 of the family's 1533-position model. The record is from RNAcentral.
AGUGAACGCUGGCGGUAGGCCUAACACAUGCAAGUCGAACGGCAGCACAGUAAGAGCUUGCUCUUAUGGGUGGCGAGUGGCGGACGGGUGAGGAAUACAUCGGAAUCUACCUUUUCGUGGGGGAUAACGUAGGGAAACUUACGCUAAUACCGCAUACGACCUACGGGUGAAAGUGGGGGACCGCAAGGCCUCACGCGAUU